RNAcentral lists this ribosomal RNA (624 nucleotides) under uncultured bacterium. RNAcentral describes it as "bacterial SSU rRNA". It matches the Rfam family "Bacterial small subunit ribosomal RNA", at positions 62 to 675 of the family's 1533-position model. The record is from RNAcentral.
UCGAGGGGCAGCGGGAUUGAAGCUUGCUUCAAUUGCCAGCGACCGGCGCACGGGUGAGUAACGCGUAUCCAACCUUCCGUACACUCAGGGAUAGCCUUUCGAAAGAAAGAUUAAUACCUGAUGGUAUGAUGAGAUUGCAUGAUAGCAUCAUUAAAGAUUCAUCGGUGUACGAUGGGGAUGCGUUCCAUUAGGUAGUAGGCGGGGUAACGGCCCACCUAGCCUACGAUGGAUAGGGGUUCUGAGAGGAAGGUCCCCCACAUUGGAACUGAGACACGGUCCAAACUCCUACGGGAGGCAGCAGUGAGGAAUAUUGGUCAAUGGACGAGAGUCUGAACCAGCCAAGUAGCGUGAAGGAUGAAGGUCCUACGGAUUGUAAACUUCUUUUAUAAGGGAAUAAAACCUCCCACGUGUGGGAGCUUGUAUGUACCUUAUGAAUAAGCAUCGGCUAACUCCGUGCCAGCAGCCGCGGUAAUACGGAGGAUGCGAGCGUUAUCCGGAUUUAUUGGGUUUAAAGGGAGCGCAGACGGGUCGUUAAGUCAGCUGUGAAAGUUUGGGGCUCAACCUUAAAAUUGCAGUUGAUACUGGCGUCCUUGAGUGCGGUUGAGGUGUGCGGAAUUCGUGGUG